This 6606-nucleotide long non-coding RNA is filed under the name Brassica napus (rape). RNAcentral's name for it is "long non-coding RNA (BNAP_LNC001048)". The record is from RNAcentral. Lineage: Eukaryota; Viridiplantae; Streptophyta; Magnoliopsida; Brassicales; Brassicaceae.
UCUCUGUCUGUGUUCAUACAGUUCAUCCAUUGAGACAAGAGAUGAAGAAGAAGAAGACACAGAGGUAAGUAAACUACAAUGUCUCUAAUCCGAAACCCUAGAUCACCCACCUCUCUUCUCAACUGGGUCUCCCACAAAGUCUCCACCUUUAAAAAACCCCAACCUCCCAUAAACCCUAGAAGAUCUCUCUCCUCCACCACCACCUCGAAACUCCCCAGAAACGAGAUUCGCAGACUAACCCAACUCGCCAUGUUCGACUACUUCUACAACAACAGAGGCCUUCAGUUCCUAAUCGCCGAGAGCCUGAGCAAAAACGCUCCUCUAUUCAACGACACCCUCCUCAACAAGCUUCACAACGAUUCUGCUUCUUGUGGUGAUGACGUCAUCAGAUCCAUCACUAAGUUCCUUCUUUACCACCCUGUGAACGAGUUCGAGCCUUUCUUCGAGAGCUUAGGUUUAAAACCCUCUGAGUUCAGCCCUCUCGUGCCUUGCGAUAAGAUGUUUUUGAACGAAGAUGCGUUCUUGUUGGAGAAUUAUCAUGUCUUUUGGAACUAUGGGAUUGGUCGGGAGAAGAUGGGGAAGAUCUUUAAGGAAGCUAGGGAGGUGUUCGGUUACGAGAGUGGUGUCUUAGCUUCAAAGAUUGAAUCUUUAGAGCGUUUGGGGUUUGGGAAGGUGUUUGUCUCCAAGCUCAUCGUUUGUACCCCGAGGGUGCUGACUGGUGAGACGAUAUUAGAAAUGGUCAGCGUUGUAGACACUGUUGGUUCGGAUUGGGUGUUGGAGAAUUUAUCAGAGGGAGGCUCUUAUGACUGGAGAUGCAUCCAUAGGUGUUUAGCCUUUCUUAGAGAGUUAUGUGGAGGAGACGAGAGUGAGGUACUAGAGUUAAUCAAGAACCGGCCCGGGCUGGUUCUGGAGGAGUCUGGAGAGUGGACAAUGAUCUUAGCUGGGUUUCAGACGAAGCUAGGUUGUUCCAGAAGUGAGUUGGUUAUGAGACUCCCUCCCCAGAGUAGUCAGGAGGUAGGGAAGUGUGUUUCGAAUCUACGGCAUUGCUUUUUGUUCCUGAGAGGUAUCAAGAUGGAGGCUUAUGAGAUAGGCAAGGUGUUUCGUAACCACUCUCACUGGCUUGGAGAGUCUCGUUUGAAGCACACUAGUACCUUUCUUAAUAAUCUGAAAGGCGGGAAGAAGCGGCUUUGUCAGGUGAUUCAGGAGAAUCCGGAGGAGAUGAAGAAAUGGACUAUGGGGUUGAGAGUAACGCCGUUGCCAGGGACUGAUGUGGUGGACGUAGUCGGCUCCAAAGCGAUGAAGACUCAGUUUUUGUUGGAGCUCGGAUACGAGGAGAAGGAGAUGGAGAAGGCCCUCAGGUGUUUUCGAGGGAGAGGGUCUGAGCUUAAGGAGAGGUUUGAGUUUCUUAAGAGCUUGGGGUUGAGUGAAGGGGAGGCUAAGGAGAUGGUGAAGGCGUCUCCUGAUGUGCUGACGCAGGCGAGCGAUGUGUUGGAAGCAAAGGUUGAUUACCUUGUGAAUGAGUUGGGGUACCCGCUUUCGACUCUGGUGGCUUUUCCUUCGUGUCUUAAGUACACGCUUGAAAGGAUGAAGGUAAGGUUUGCAAUGUAUAAUUGGUUGCAAGAGAGAGGGAAGGCGGAUGCGAAGCUGGCGAUAAGUACCAUUCUUGUGUACUCUGAUAAGUCGUUUGUGAAGAGGUUUGUGAACCGUCACCCUGAUGGUGCUAAGUAUUUUGAGGAGUUGAAGAAGAGUGCUUCUUUGUGAGUAUAUAGAAGAAGAAAGUUUAUCAAGAUGUGGUUUCUAACCUUUGAUGAAGACAAUUUUUGUGGACCAGUAACUUCAAAUCUCUCUGUAAUGAUUUGCUAUGUAAUGUUUCCACAAGCUCAAUAGCAAUUUUGGAUCAAAUUAAAAUUGUUACUAUAAUUAGCCAAGGGUUCCACAUGAGCUUGUUCUCAGGGUUUAGCAUCAAGGUCCAAGGAAAAUCCAAAAGAAUUCAAACUAAAAAAUAUAAGAGAAUAUUCACACUAAUUUGUAAACUAAAAAAAUAUAAGAGAAUAUUCAAACUAGUUUGCAAACUAAAAAAUAUAAGAGAAUAUUCAAUCUAAUUUGCAAACUAAAAAAAUAUAAAAGAAUAUUCUUUUUUUUUAUUGUGAAACAGAGAAUAUUCAAACGAAUUUACAAACAAAAUAUUCUUGGUACAUUUUCAAAAUGUGUUUGAUCGAUUGGCUAGCAACGCUUGAGAGGCGCCCCACAUAGACAGAGGUUGUUGGAGAACUCAUAGACCUCGAAGUUCUGUAUCAGACCUCCCUGUGGUAUGGACCCACAUAGACGGUUGAAACUUAUGUUAAAUUGGUUAAGUUGGAGCUUGGUCAGCUCCAAAGGAAGCUCUCCGAAAACUCUGUUAUGGCUAAGGUCCAAUGACACCAAGCUCUUGGCCAGUUUGACCUUUGAGAGAUCAAAGUGGAAGUUGUUCCGAGACAAGUCUAACCUUACGGUUGUUUUGUUAUGUCCAAAGAACAUUGAAGCAUCUCCACCGAAGUUGUUUCCUGACAAACUCACGGUGUUGAAGUUGGUUUUCGAUAAUGACUUUGGUAUUUCUCCUGCAUUACAAAUUACAAUUAAAUCAACAUAAUCAAUUUAUGUAUAUCAUUCCUUAUUACUAAUGUUCUAUAAAUCGGUUUAAACGGUUCUAAAAUGAUUGUUUUUUAAAUCGGUCUAGGUGGCAUGCAAUAUACAAACAUCCAGUUAGACAUUAAUCCUAUAUAAAACAUCUAAUUACUGCCUAUUGAUUUCUUAAACAUUUGAUUAUUAUAUAUCUAGGCUAAGGAAAAAAUCUUAGGCAAUAACUUGAGUGACAAAUUUUACCUGAGAGGUGAUUAUUACCUAAGUAGAGUUUUGGGAUCUUUCCAGCAAAGGAACCGAAAGAUUCCGGUAUAGAACCGGUUAACUUGUUAUGACUGAGCUGUAUGGUCUCAAGUCUAUGCAUCUGAGAAAUCGAACCAGGUAUUGAACCGUUGAACCGGUUAAAGGAGAGGUCCAAGAAAGUAACGUUCUGAAGCUGGCUGAUGUAAUCAGGGACUGGACCAGAGAGUUCGGUUAUCCUAAACCGAAGGUAGACUAGAUUCUUGAGCUUGGUGAUAGAGCGUGGAAUGGUGCCUCUGAGUCGAGAGAGACUGCUCAAGUCUAGGAUAACGAGGUCAGUAAGGUCUCCUAUCUCCUCAGCUAUCUGACCAACGACGUCUCCUGCAGAUAUAGUGAGGCCGGUGAUGCGGCGGUGAGUGCACACAACGCCGGUCCAGUUGGUGCAGCAGUCGGUUUUGGGGUCCCAAGAGUUGAGGAUUUGAGGGUUGUUUAAGGACUUCUUGAUCUUGAGGAGAGUAGUUUUGUCAUUUGAGUUACAACUUCUAGAACAUGGGAAGAACAUGAAGAAGAAAAAGAGAGCGGGGUUAAGAAGCUUCAUUCUCAUUGGCUCUUAACUUGCCUGUGAAGUUUCUCUUAUUUUUGAAUCAUUUAUGUUCUAAACGAGUUGAUAGUCAAAGAGGUUAUGAUUAGAUAGCAUUUAGAUGUAACAAUGAUGAUUUCAUGAGAUCAAAUGAAUCUUAUGCGCUAUCAUAUAACACCAUAUGUGUGGGUUGAAAACUUUAUUUUGAAGCAAAUAUGCGCAUUAUAUGGAAAAAUGAAUUGAUAUAUGCUUUAAAGAUAAAAGUGCCCUUGUUUCUUUGGUGGUACACUAAAAAGUGUAAUAACUGGUGGGAAACUAUGCAGAGGCAACACCCAAAGCGAUACUGAAGCUGAUGGAUUCUGAAGGACUCACAAUAUUUCAUGUUAAAAGCCAUCUACAGGUUAACUUUACUUCUUCUCUCUUUACACUUGUUUUUAAGAAGUUUUAAUUCAAUAGUUCUUGGUUAAAAUUUCAGAAGUAUAGGAUUGCGAAAUACAUCCCUGACUAUCAAGAAGGUACUCUAAAUGAAUACCAUCACUAUAUAUUUGAAUGUGAUAAAAUACAUUGAAAUUUUUUUGUCAAAAAAAGAUAAAAUACAUUGACAAUUUAGGAAUAAUGCAAAUUCAGAGAGUUUUGUUGUUGCAGGCAAGUUUGAGAAGGGAUCUUGUUCAAAAGAGCUGUCUCAGCUUGACACAAAAACGUACGUUUUUUUCCCUUCUUUAUAUGGGUACCAAAAAUAAUAUUUUCUUUAUUACUAAAUAUAUAGUCUCCAUAUAAGUCCAAAGUUAAUGACACAAUGGCUUACCGUAGCAAUGACAACAACAUACGAUUAACAUUAUUCAAAAAUAAUAAAAUAAUGAGUUGUUAAUGAUUAAAUUAAUAUUUUGUUUUGUUUUAUAUCGUGGAUGCAGUGGAGUGCAAAUUAAAGAGGCACUCCAGCUUCAGCUAGACGUUCAGAGGCAUCUUCAUGAACAACUAGAGGUGAGUUACAAAAUGUAAAUAUAUAACUUUAGUUUAUUAUAUUUUUACCAAGUAAAUGCAUUCCGAUGUUACAGUUUAAGUAGUAGUGUGUGGCAUCGAGUGCUUAUUCCAGUUUCCCACUUUAGAAUUAAUAUCUGCUUCAUUAUAUUUUGAUUUAAAAAUUAAUAUUUUUCUACAAAAUAUCUUUUUGUUUGACAAAUUUUUUUUCUAUAACAUAUCUUUUGAAACAAAUGAAGGCCAGCUUUCUAGUUUUGAGAUUGUAUGUUUGAACAUUUUGUUGCUCUCCCCAUUUUUUAUUUCAUAUAUUUAUUAUCAUCAUUCACCAAUGAAGUAUUUCUCAUACUAAUCUAUACACUUUUUAACCACUCAUAUAUUGAUUCACGUGUUUUUUUCCAUUAGAUUCAAAGAAACCUGCAACUAAGAAUCGAAGAACAAGGGAAGCAAUUGAAAAUAAUGAUAGAGCAACAACAAAAGACAAAAGAGUGUCUUCUUCUCAAGUCACCAAACGCUGAAGCAUCGUUGUCUCACUCUGCUUCUGAUCACUCUCCUCCACCUUACUCAAUUCAAGAUGCAGAAGCCCUGAUGCUAACAACUUAUGGAGACACUCAAUUCCAAUCAAAGAUAAGCUGAACAAUGAGAGAUUGGCUAAAUAGAAAAGGCCUAAUUAAAGCAUGUUUUUUUUACUCUUACUCUAUUCAAAGUACUGGUGUAAAGUUAUAAGAGUCGCGACAAGAGAAUGUCCAAAGUGCUAUACACACACUAACACUUGGAAACAGAAUCAGGUACUUACAUGUGUGCAAGUGGUGUGUGAUGGAGUCUUAGUCAUAUAUAGACUAAUAUAUAGAUGUGUGUGAUUAUUCUUAAUUAACUAUGUGCUUUUAAAAAUUCACACGAAGAGAUAGCUUCUUAAAUUAGUAACGCUACUUUUAACAUUGUGCAUGAGGAACCCCACGUUUUAUCCUUUUCCCUUUCUUAUAUAUUCUACUUUGAAUAUUCAAUUUCUUUUCAUCUUUCUUUUUUCUUCUUCUCAUUGUUCUCAAACUAAAUUUGAUUGCUCUAGUAUUAGUAUACACACUGCAUAUUAUGCUGGAAAAAAAACUGGAGAUCGUGAGCUCAUAAUAGUAGAUUGUCUUGAUAAGCUCGUUCUUAAAAUCUUGCUGCAUAAAAAUCUUUGCAUUUCUUUGCCUUAUUUACAAAGAAAAAGGCUCAGAUUGAAACAUUGUUAUGAAAUUGCCGUAAAUUUAAAUGACUUUGUAUGCUAUUUUGUGAUUGAAAACUUCUUUUUUGUCUAAAGGCCUUGAAAUAUUUUGGUCAGCCCCUAAACCGACUGAUGAUCCCUUCACUAUCACUCUGAGCCCGUCAGGGAAGAGAGCCCAUCAGAAUAAAGAAGCAUUGUGGACAAAUUGACAAACAAAAAGAACUUUAUAUUGGAAACUUUUAUUUUAAAUUUUGGAAAUACUCCAAAAUUCGUUAAAAUACAAUGAGAACUCAAGCCAAUGAUAAAAAUCAAACAAAAAUUGAAUUAACUGUUAUCUCAAAAUUGUAGUUAUAAUAUAAUUACUUUUGGUGACAAAAACUUAAAAAUGACUAUUUGGAAAAAAAAAUUGUUCAAUUGACAAACCAAAAAAUAACUUUAUAUUGGAGAUCUUUAUUUAAAUCUUGAAAAUACAAUGAGAGAACUCAAGUCAGUGAUAAAAAUCAAAUAUUGAAUUUGAUUUAAUAUUAUCUCAAAAUGAAUUUUUAGAAUAUGAUGAAUAUGCUAAACAUAAACAAAAAUUAUAGAAUCUUUAAAAUAUGACGAAAUAAUAUCGUCACACAUAAACACACAUGUCUCUCUCUCUGUCUGUGUUCAUACAGUUCAUCCAUUGAGACAAGAGAUGAAGAAGAAGAAGACACAGAGGUAAGUAAACUACAAUGUCUCUAAUCCGAAACCCUAGAUCACCCACCUCUCUUCUCAACUGGGUCUCCCACAAAGUCUCCACCUUUAAAAAACCCCAACCUCCCAUAAACCCUAGAAGAUCUCUCUCCUCCACCACCACCUCGAAACUCCCCAGAAACGAGAUUCGCAGACUAACCCAACUCGCCAUGUUCGACUACUUCUACAACAACAGAGGCCUUCAGUUCCUAAUCGCCGAGAGCCUGAGCAAAAACGCUCCUCUAUUCAACGACACCCUCCUCAACAAGCU